This 253-nucleotide ribosomal RNA is filed under the name uncultured bacterium. RNAcentral describes it as "partial 16S ribosomal RNA". It matches the Rfam family "Bacterial small subunit ribosomal RNA", at positions 524 to 776 of the family's 1533-position model. The record is from RNAcentral.
UACGUAGGGUGCAAGCGUUGUCCGGAAUUAUUGGGCGUAAAGAGCGUGUAGGCGGCCCGAUUAGUCCGCUGUGAAAGUCCAGGGCUCAACCCUGGAAUGCCGGUGGAUACUGCCGGGCUAGAGUCCGGAAGAGGCGAGUGGAACUCCUGGUGUAGCGGUGGAAUGCGCAGAUAUCAGGAAGAACACCAACGGCGAAGGCAGCUCGCUGGGACGGUACUGACGCUGAGACGCGAAAGCGUGGGGAGCGAACAGG